This is a non-coding RNA of Triticum aestivum (bread wheat), 125 nucleotides long. Lineage: Eukaryota; Viridiplantae; Streptophyta; Magnoliopsida; Poales; Poaceae. The record is from Rfam.
UACAUACUCCCUCCGUCCGGAAUUACUUGUCGCGGAAAUAGAUCAAAAUGGAUAUAUUUAAAACUAAAAUACGUCUAGAUACAUCCAUUUCUCCGACAAGUAUUUCCGAACGGAGGGAGUACAUC